RNAcentral lists this ribosomal RNA (253 nucleotides) under uncultured bacterium. RNAcentral's name for it is "partial 16S ribosomal RNA". It matches the Rfam family "Bacterial small subunit ribosomal RNA", at positions 524 to 776 of the family's 1533-position model. The record is from RNAcentral.
UACGGGGGGUGCGAGCGUUGCUCGGAUUUACUGGGCGUAAAGCGUACGCAGGCGGCCAAACAAGUCAGGUGUGAAAGCCCAGGGCUCAACCCUGGAAAUGCGCCCGAUACUGUAUGGCUCGAGUGCGGGAGAGGGAAGCGGAAUUCCUGGUGUAGAGGUGAAAUUCGUAGAUAUCAGGAGGAACACCAGUGGCGAAAGCGGCUUCCUGGCCCGAUACUGACGCUCAAGUACGAAAGCGUGGGGAGCAAACAGG